RNAcentral lists this ribosomal RNA (332 nucleotides) under uncultured bacterium. Its description in RNAcentral is "bacterial SSU rRNA". It matches the Rfam family "Bacterial small subunit ribosomal RNA", at positions 568 to 898 of the family's 1533-position model. The record is from RNAcentral.
UGCGCAGGCGGUUGUAUAAGUCAGAUGUGAAAUCCCCGGGCUCAACCUGGGAACUGCAUUUGAGACUGUACGGCUAGAGUGUAGCAGAGGGGGGUAGAAUUCCACGUGUAGCAGUGAAAUGCGUAGAGAUGUGGAGGAAUACCGAUGGCGAAGGCAGCCCCCUGGGUUACUACUGACGCUCAUGCACGAAAGCGUGGGGAGCAAACAGGAUUAGAUACCCUGGUAGUCCACGCCCUAAACGAUGUCAACUAGAUGUUGGAAGGGUUAAACCUUUUAGUGUCGUAGCUAACGCGUGAAGUUGACCGCCUGGGGAGUACGGCCGCAAGGCUAAA